This 127-nucleotide small nucleolar RNA is filed under the name Castor canadensis (American beaver). Its description in RNAcentral is "Small nucleolar RNA SNORA51 (ENSCCNG00000006412.1)". It matches the Rfam family "Small nucleolar RNA SNORA51". From Rfam's summary of the family: ACA51 is a member of the H/ACA class of snoRNA that guide the sites of modification of uridines to pseudouridines. The record is from Rfam by way of RNAcentral. Lineage: Eukaryota; Metazoa; Chordata; Mammalia; Rodentia; Castoridae.
GGCUUCCUGGUGCUCAUCACAGGCUAUUCUUACCCUGACUGUAUAGAAAGAGGAGGGAAAGUAAACCUGCCCCAUUACACCUCAGCCCAAGCCCUGUGCCUGGUCUGUAUUGUGCGAAGAGAAAAAA